UCCUGAGGGAUGGCUCAGUUGGUAGAGCACGAGACUCUUGAUCUCAGGGUCGUGUGUUCAAGCCCCGUGUUGGGUGAA
Molecule: non-coding RNA, 78 nt
Organism: Podarcis lilfordi (Lilford's wall lizard)
Lineage: Eukaryota; Metazoa; Chordata; Lepidosauria; Squamata; Lacertidae
Source: the annotation of a GenBank genome assembly